GUAUGCCUCUAACUCAGCAUCAUGUUUAUAAAAAUAUGAUCUAGAUGUCAGAAAUGAAAUUAAAAUAAUAGAUUGAUUCUCUUAAGAAUCCAACUACCUAUUUUACUAUUCACUACACUGAAACCUGUAUCUGUCGCUUGUCGAUAUGAUGCUGGGGACCGUGCUUGGUGGGGAGUGUAACUGGGGCGGUUGCCUCCUAAAACGUAACGGAGGCGCACAAAGGUAGGCUAAGUCCGGAUGGAAAUCGGACUGAUAGUGUAUUCGCACAAGCCUGCUUGACUGAGAGACCUACAAGUCGAUCAGAGACGAAAGUCGGUGAAAGUGAUCCGGCACCAACAUGUGGGAGUGGUGUCGCUCAACGGAUAAAAGUUA
This 372-nucleotide ribosomal RNA is filed under the name uncultured organism. Its description in RNAcentral is "bacterial LSU rRNA". It matches the Rfam family "Bacterial large subunit ribosomal RNA", at positions 2214 to 2465 of the family's 2925-position model. The record is from RNAcentral.